AACGCUGGCGGCGUGCUAACACAUGCAAGUCGAACGAAGCACCUCGCCCGAUGAAAUGGAGUGCUUGCACAAAGUGGAAUCAAUUGAGGUGACUGAGUGGCGGACGGGUGAGUAACGCGUGGGUAACCUGCCCUAUACAGGGGGAUAGCAGUUGGAAACGACUGAUAAUACCGCAUAAGCGCACAGGACCGCAUGGUCUGGUGUGAAAAACUCCGGUGGUAUAGGAUGGACCCGCGUCUGAUUAGCUAGUUGGUGAGGUAACGGCUCACCAAGGCGACGAUCAGUAGCCGACCUGAGAGGGUGACCGGCCACAUUGGGACUGAGACACGGCCCAAACUCCUACGGGAGGCAGCAGUGGGGAAUAUUGCACAAUGGGCGAAAGCCUGAUGCAGCGAACCGCCGCGUGAGUGAUGAAGUAUUUCGGUAUGUAAAGCUCUAUCAGCAGGGAAGAUAAUGACGGUACCUGACUAAGAAGCACCGGCUAAAUACGUGCCAGCCGCCGC
Molecule: ribosomal RNA, 503 nt
Filed under: uncultured bacterium
Lineage: Bacteria
Description: bacterial SSU rRNA
Rfam family: Bacterial small subunit ribosomal RNA
Source: RNAcentral